This 2348-nucleotide long non-coding RNA is filed under the name Medicago truncatula (barrel medic). RNAcentral describes it as "long non-coding RNA (MTRU_LNC001387)". The record is from RNAcentral. Lineage: Eukaryota; Viridiplantae; Streptophyta; Magnoliopsida; Fabales; Fabaceae.
UAAAAAUUAUUUAUACCUAUAUGUCAAUUCAAUCAUAUUUUAGCAAAAAGAUAAGUGUGAGUAACUAAUAUAUCAAAAAUAUAUAAAAAAAAAAAAAUGAAAUUGGGCCUGGCUGACCCAUGGCCCCACGGAUCGGGCCGCGCUCUAGAACGAGUGGCUCAAUUUCAAAUGGGCUGGCCCAUUUAUGCCAUCGGGCCUCUUAGGCCGUACCAAGUCAGCCCAUUUGACACCUCUACAUAGAGCUGUCAAAACGGGCGGCCCGACCCGGUCGGGCAACGAGCUUUUUAGGGCCGGACUGAAAAGCCCGGUUUGAAUAUGAACUUGAAAAAUGGAGCCCGAGUCUGGCCCUAUACGGGCUAACGGGCCAACCCUGGCCCGUUUUUUAUUUUAUUUUAAAAAAAGCAAAAAAUAAUUUUAUUAAAAUAAAUAGCAUCAUAAAGCAUAAGAAACGCUCAACAGAUGCAAGAAAUAAAACUGUACAAAAACAGUGAUAGGUAUGAACCCCUCAAAAAGCCUCCAGCAACAAUAACAGGAAAAAAAAACACCUAAAAUCAAAGAAUAAAGCAAGAGUUAAUGUAGAACAUAAAAGCAUGACCUAAUAUAAGGUAUGCAUAAAUAUAACUUAACUAUUUGAUUGUUUAUUUUUUUCAUAAGCAAAUUUCAAAAAGAAUAAACAGUUUACUAUUGAAAACAAUAAACAGUGCAUAAAUAUAACUUAACUUUCAUCAUAACAGAAUAAAUAGUAUGCAUAAGUAAGAAUGAAGUUUAGAAAGGAAUUCCAAUAGUAUGCAUAAGUAACUAAUGUAUGUAACUAUUUUUUUUAUAAACAAUAUGCAUAAGUAAAUAUUUAUUUAUUUAAUCUUAAGAAUGAAGUUUAGAAUAAAUGGAAUUUCAUCGGAACAUAAUACUAUUGAAAACAAUUUAGAACUUAUUUCACAGAAUUUUCAAAGCAACAGUGGUGUACAAAAAUAAACUCAGAAAGGGAACAAUAUAGCAGAUAGCCCCUAGUGUAAAAAUUUAAAAACAAUAAAAAAAAAACCCCACUUGGGUUGUCCAGUAAGUAACACACACAAACCACACAGAAACAAAAGAAAAAAACUACUUGAAAUUUUGGCGGGCUGCCCGUAGCCCGAACGGGUUACGGGCUGGGCUAAAAAGCCCUGGAAAAAUUCGGGCUCUAAUUUUUCAGCCCAAGCCUUACAUUUUAUUCGGACUUUCGGUCCGGUCCAUAUGGUCCGGCCCUCGUUUUGACAGCUCCACCUCUACAUAUAAUUGGUUCGAAAUAUCUCUCCAUGCACAUUAUUUGUUGGAAGUUUGACAUGUCAUCUAAAUUAAAAAAGAUAAACAGGAUUUGUUACGGUAAAUAAACAUGAUUUGUUACAGUAAAUUACAAAUAUCUAUACAUAUAAUUCCAAUCAAAAUCUAAAUUUCAUAAAAUAUCUCUUAUUACUUAAAGUUAACCCGUAAGCAAUAUUUUGCUUUAGAUUUACCCUAAUUACUCUGCUUAAUUUUACUAUAUUAACCAUAUCUCUUCUAUUAUCUCUUAUUACUUAAUUAAAGUUAAUCCGUAAGCAAUAUUUUGCCCUAGAUUUACCCUAAUUUCUCUGCAUAAUUUUACUAUAUUAACCAUACCUCUUCUAUUAUCUCUUAUUACUUAAAGUUAACCCGUAAGCAAUAUUUUGCCCUAGAUUUACCCUAAUUUUGAUUAUCUGCUUAAUUUUACUAUAUUAACCAUAUCUCUUCUGUUAUCUCUUAUUACUUAAAGUUAACCCGCAAACAAUAUUUUGCCCUAGAUUUACCCUAAUUUCUCUGCUUAAUUUUACUAUAUUAACCCUAUCUCUUCUAUUAUCUCUUUACUUCAAGUUAACCCGUAAGCAAUAUUUUGCCCUAAAUUUAACCUUAUCUCUCUGCUUAAUUUUACAAUAUAUUAACCCCACCUCUUAUAUCAUCUCUUAUCUCUUAUUACUAUUUAAAGUUAACAAGUUAACCCGUAAGCAAUAUUUUGCCAUAGAUUUACCCUAAUUUCUCUGCUUAAUUUUACUAUACUAACCCUAUCUCUUAUUAAUAAAGUUUAACCCGUCUCGCUAUUAUGUUAGUCAAAUUAUGUUCCUAAUUUCAUUGAUAAUCGCAUUUAUUGUUCAUUCCAAUUAAAAGAUCAAAAUCUCUGUCGGGUCGAUGUCAUGUUACAAUAUCAAGGUCGAUGUCAUGGUCAUAAUAUGAUAUGAUAUAGUACCAAUGUCUAUGAUAAUUAAUAUUAUGAAUUUAAUCAGAACAAUUAUGACAUUCAACUAAACUAUUUUGUUACAUGUUACUGUCAAAUAUUACCUUCGAUAUGACGCGUGCGAUAG